CGAAAGCCUGACGGAGCAAGACCGCGUGGGGGAAGAAGGCUCUUGGGUUGUAAACCCCUUUUCUCUGGGAAGAAAGUUGUGAAAGCAACCUGACGGUACCAGAGGAAUCAGCAUCGGCUAACUCCGUGCCAGCAGCCGCGGUAAGACGGAGGAGGCAAGCGUUAUCCGGAAUGAUUGGGCGUAAAGCGUCCGCAGGUGGCAGUUCAAGUCUGCUGUCAAAGACCGGGGCUUAACUUCGGGAAGGCAGUGGAAACUGAACAGCUAGAGUAUGGUAGGGGCAGAGGGAAUUCCUGGUGUAGCGGUGAAAUGCGUAGAGAUCAGGAAGAACAUCGGUGGCGAAGGCGCUCUGCUGGACCAUAACUGACACUCAGGGACGAAAGCUAGGGGAGCG
This 391-nucleotide ribosomal RNA is filed under the name uncultured Oscillatoria sp. RNAcentral describes it as "bacterial SSU rRNA". It matches the Rfam family "Bacterial small subunit ribosomal RNA", at positions 376 to 770 of the family's 1533-position model. The record is from RNAcentral. Lineage: Bacteria; Bacillati; Cyanobacteriota; Cyanophyceae; Oscillatoriales; Oscillatoriaceae.